RNAcentral lists this ribosomal RNA (800 nucleotides) under uncultured bacterium. RNAcentral's name for it is "bacterial SSU rRNA". It matches the Rfam family "Bacterial small subunit ribosomal RNA", at positions 8 to 775 of the family's 1533-position model. The record is from RNAcentral.
AGAGUUUCUUUAUGGCUCAGGACGAACGCUGGCGGCGUGCUUAACACAUGCAAGUCGAACGAAAAGAGGGAAAGAGCUUGCUCUUUCCGGAAUUGAGUGGCAAACGGGUGAGUAACACGUAAACAACCUGCCUUCAGGAUGGGGACAACAGACGGAAACGACUGCUAAUACCGAAUAAGUUCCAAGAGCCGCAUGGCCCAUGGAAGAAAAGGUGGCCUCUACCUGUAAGCUAUCGCCUGAAGAGGGGUUUGCGUCUGAUUAGCUGGUUGGUGGGGUAACGGCCCACCAAGGCGACGAUCAGUAGCCGGUCUGAGAGGAUGAACGGCCACACUGGAACUGAGACACGGUCCAGACUCCUACGGGAGGCAGCAGUGGGGAAUCUUCCGCAAUGGGCGAAAGCCUGACGGAGCAACGCCGCGUGAGUGAUGACGGCCUUCGGGUUGUAAAACUCUGUGAUCCGGGACGAAAAGGCAGAGUGCGAAGAACAAACUGCAUUGACGGUACCGGAAAAGCAAGCCACGGCUAACUACGUGCCAGCAGCCGCGGUAAUACGUAGGUGGCAAGCGUUGUCCGGAAUUAUUGGGCGUAAAGCGCGCGCAGGCGGCUUCCCAAGUCCCUCUUAAAGGUGCGGGGCUUAACCCCGUGAUGGGAAGGAAACUGGGAAGCUGGAGUAUCGGAGAGGAAAGUGGAAUUCCUAGUGUAGCGGUGAAAUGCGUAGAGAUUAGGAAGAACACCGGUGGCGAAGGCGACUUUCUGGACGAAAACUGACGCUGAGGCGCGAAAGCGUGGGGAGCAAACAA